This 29370-nucleotide long non-coding RNA is filed under the name Marmota monax (woodchuck). The stretch from base 14735 to 14806 matches the Rfam family "tRNA". The record is from RNAcentral. Lineage: Eukaryota; Metazoa; Chordata; Mammalia; Rodentia; Sciuridae.
CACAGUGGAAUUUCUGUGGAGCCACACAACAGAGAGCAUGUGUGUUGGAUAUAUGUCAGCCCAGGAUGGGAAAGCCAAGGUAAGUGGGAAAGACUGGGCCACAACCUGAAAGCCUGAUAGCCACUGUAUAAACCUUUAACCAGUUAAGUUGAUAUAGAUGAAUUUUUUUUUCACCUCUUGUGGGCAAUAGCUCUGUGAACUUUAUACAAAUCACAUUAAGAUCUCUUAAUGAUUCAAAAGAAAAACAGCAGAUCUUUUUUACUUUCAGGAGAAAGGGGGAUUAAAAAAAAACCCUGUCUUUUUCCACUUUGCUCCUCUUUGCCCAUUGUGAAUAGUUGGCAAAGAGGAAACUGGGAAUUAGGAAAAGAAAAUGAAAAUAAAACUGAUGAACUGACAUAGAUGGAUGAUUCUGCAAAGAGUGUUGGAAUAGAUAAAGGAAACUGGGGCAAUGUAAGAUUAGCCCCUGGAAAGCAUCUCUGCAUGUUGAUAGCAGAGGUGGCUGACAUGCUUCCAGUUACCACAUAGCUUAUGCUCUGGUGUCCUCAGGGAUGACCUGGAAUGGUUUCUUUGUGUGAAGUCAGAGGGCUUUGCCUCUGUGCACCAUAUGCCUCAGAGAGUCAUAACAAUUACAUAGGUGUCCAUGUAUCAAUUCUUGAGUUGCUUGGCUUCUCUGGACUCAUGAUGGUUGAGCCUGUGAGUAAAAUACAUAAUUUGUGGAAUUUAUUUUAUAUCAGUUUCAUAUUCUUCUUGUAAAUAACAUUUUUAGAAACAGCUGUGACACAUGCCAUUUACUUGACAUUAAAAUGCCUCAGUUGCAAAACUAUGAAGUCAGGCAGCCUCUUUUUAAAAGAAAUGAUUUACUCUACAUAUUUCGAAAGAUCAAGUAAGGAAAUCUCUGAUAUAAGCCAUCUGAAACAGAUUGAAUCAUUAACAAAUAAAGAGUAAAUGUAUAGUCAUGCACCAUAUAAGAUUAUUUUGAUAAAAAAUGGGUUGUACAUAUAAUGGUGAUCUCAUAAGAUUUAUAUUGAACAAGCCUGAUUAACAACACAAGUGGUUUAUCAGGAUAUGAAUGAUUUGCAGCCAUUUAAGUUUCUCUCAUACUUAACAUAUUGAUCCUGAUUAGAUUGCUUUUUUUAACAAAAGAACAUGCAUGAGAUAUGCUUCAGCACUAAGGCCAGUCUGCUGGGGUACCGUCAUGGUAUCUUGUGUGGAAAUGUUUUUAUUAUCCCUGCUGGUGGUCUGUGGAAGACACCUUAUCAUUUAACAUGAAAUACUAUAAAGAAAUUGGAGAGAACAGUGAACCCAAACAUGUUUGACCUCCAGUUGUAUCAUUUGACAUCUGGUAGAUGUGGUUUUUAUAUUGUUGGUAAAGUCUUCAGCUGAUAGUCUUAUUGGGCCAGCAGAUACAGCUGUUUCCCUUGCUUCACUUGUAAAUGAUGUUUUUGACCUUCCUUUCAGAGAGUUAAUCCCUCUCCCUUUUUUCCUCCUUUGGAUUGGUGGACUACAAAUGCUUUCCAGAAAAACAAAAUAAUUUUAAUUCUAACGCUUUGGCUGCUGAAUUCUGCUAAUUUAAAAAAAAAAUAAAAUCCUUUUUUUCCCCAUAAACACUGGAAUGUUAUUGUAUUAUGAGUAAGACAAACUUAUAGAUGAUAAGCUAGACUUGAAAGAGAUAGGGAGCUAUAGCAGAAUUCAUUUUCCUUUUAAGAGAAUAAGACUUGGACUUACCCCUUUGUUUUCUACAUCUGAGACUCCUGGCUUCUGUGAAAGAAUUGUUGUUUUGGAGGCUUUGUGAAAUAUGCUCUUCCAUAAGAUAGUCAUGAUAGCAAAAUGAGUAAGGAAAUAUCUUUAAAAGUUUUUUUUUUAAUUUAAAAACUAUUUUUAAAGUUCAAAACACCACAAACAAGAGCAACAACUUUCCCCCCGGUUUUCUAAAAAUUCCCUGCUUUAUCCUUGCUGCCAAACUCAGAAACUAAAGCUACUUGGCCACUUGAGUAUUUUAUAUGUUAGUUGUUUGUAAUUCAGGUUAAAAGCCUUGAAUUAAAGCUCAUCUCAAAAUCAUGCUGCUCAGAAAAGAAUGAGUAAUAAUCAAUAUUAUUUUGACCAGAAUCCAUAUAGAAUUUGAAGAUAGCUAGAUUCUUCCUCAAAUUUCUUUUUCUAAAAAGAAUAUUCUUUUUUAUGUAAUUUUUUAAAAAUUUAUAUAUGACAGCAGAAUGCAUUACAAUUCUAUAUAUAUAUAUAUAUAUAUAUAUAUAUAGCACAAUUUUUCAUAUCUCUGGUUGUAUACACAGUAUAUUCACACCAAUUCGUGUCUUCAUACCUGUACUUUGAAUAGUAAUGAUUGUCACAUUCCACCAUCAUUAAUUAUCCCAUGUCCCCUCCUUUCCCCUCCAACCCCUCUGUCCUAUCUAGAAUUCGUCUAUUCCUCCCAUGGUCCCCUUCCCUAUCCCACUAUAAAUCAGCCUCCUUAUAUCAAAGAAAACAUUUGGCAUUUGGUUUUUUGGAUUGGCUAACUUCACUUAGCUUCAUCUUCUCUAACUCCAUCCAUUUUCCUGCAAAUGCCAUGAUUUUAUUCUCUUUUAUUGCUGAGUAAUAUUCCAUUGUGUAUAUAUGCCACAUUUUUUAAUCCAUUCAUCUAUUGAAGGGCAUCUAGGUUGGUUCCACAGCAGUUUAGCUAUUGUGAAUUGUGUUGCUAUAAACAUUGGUGUGGCUGUGUCCCUGUAGUAUACUGUUUUUAAGUCCUUACACCAAGGAGAGGGAAAGCUGGGUCAAAUGGUGGUUCCAUUCCCAAUUUUCUAAGAAAUCUCCAUACUGCUUUCCAUAUUGGCUGCACCAAUUUUCAGUCCCACCAACAGUGUGUGAGUGUAACUUUUUCCCCACAUCCUUGCCAACAUUUAUUGUUGUUUGUAUGCAUAAUAGCUCCCAUUCUGACUGGAGUGAGAUGAAAUCGUAGAGUGGUUUUGAUUUACAUUUCUCUAUUUGCUAGUGAUGAUGAAGAUUUUUUCAUGUAUUUGUUGAUUGAUUUUAUAUCAUCUUCUGAAAAGUGUCUAUUCAGGUCCUUGGCCCAUUUAUUGAUUGGGUUAUUUGGGUUUUUUUUUUUUGGUGUUUAGCUUUUUGAGUUCUUUAUAUACCCUCGUGAUUUGUGCUCUAUCUGAUGUGUGAGGGGUAAAGAUUUGCUCCCAAGAUGUAGUCUCUCUAUACACCUCACAGAUUGCUUCUUUUGCUGGGAAGAAGCUUUUUAGUUUGAGUCCAUCACAUUUAUUGAUUCUUGAUUUUAAUUCUUGUGACACAGGGGUCUUAUGAAGGAAGUUGUGGCCUAAGCCCACAUGAUGGACAUUAGGGCCUACUUUUUCAGGGUCUCUGGUUUUAUUCCUAAGUCCUUGAUCCAUUUUGAGUUGAGUUUUGUGCAUGGUGAGAGAUAGGGGUUUAAUCUCAUUUUGUUGAAAAAGAAUAUUCUUAUAAUUAUAUAAUUUAAUUUAGUUUCUAUAGCAUAAGGCAAAGAAAUUUAUUUUUAAUGGAACCAAAAUCAAGGCUUUGAUACCAGUUGGAUUUUAAAACUAUAUUGUCCCAUAUCCUAGAUAGUAGAUGGUUUAAUGAACAGUUUUUCAUAAAUAACUCAGUGUAUGUGAACUACUGGAAUAAAAUAGAUUUUUUAAAUGGCAUGGAACUUAUUCAAGUAUAAUAAGUGAAAUUAGAUUUUUUAAAAAUAUGUAGAGGCCACUCUUUAUAACAAGAGUAAAAAUGUAAUAAUAAAAAUUCUUCCUCAAGAAGGAAUAGUCUGUUUUAUCUCUAGAGAUUUAUUAUUAGUUGUGGGGGAAAUAAGAACUAUAUAAUGGAGAAUCCAGGCAACAAACAACUCAAUUGUGUGAUCAAAAUACCACCAUUGAGGGGCAAAUGGACAGUAUGUACCUCUGAAUGUGAUAACCUGAGAAGAAUACAACAUAAUUUAUACAUAGUAUUCUGUCUAGAUGUACAUAACCUGAACCUAAUCAUGAGAAAACAUCAAAUAAGUCAGAAAUGAGGAACAUGCUGAAAAGAAAGAAAAAAGGGACUAUUCACCAAAAAUGUCAGUGCCAUAAAGACAAAGGCUGCACAAAUAUUUCAGAUUAUACAAUACUGAAGCAACAAUGACAACUAAUGUCAAUAACUGAUCUUAGACUGGAUUAUAUAUGAGAGGGGGGAAUGUCAUAAACACAUUAUUAACUCAGCUUGAAUACUGGAACAUGAGUAGUAAAAAUGAAUUAUAUAAUCAUUAAAUUUACUAAGGCUGAUAACUGUAUUGGGAUGAAUAGGGAAAUAUCUUAUUUUUAGAAAAAUUACACUGAAGUUUCUAAGGGUAAAAGGCCAUAAUAUAUAUAAUGUCUUCUCAAUGAUUUAGAAAAAAUAUUAUGUGUAUGUGUGUAUGAAUGAAUGAAUGUGUGUAUAGAUAGUACAUUAUAAAGCAAAUGGAGCAAAAUGUUUACAAUAGGUGAAUCUUAGUAAAGGAUGCAUUGUUUCUUCAACUGUUCUGUAAGAGAAAAAUUAUUUUCAAAUGAAAAUUUUCAAAAUAUAUCAUUCUUGCAUAUUAUGGCAUAUUUGAUUAUUUCUUUGGGCCUCACACUUGAAGUGAUAUAGUUCAAAAAAUAUCAUCCUUGGUUUAUAACCAAUUCUGCAUUUAAUGAAUGAAUACAUUACUCCAAACUCCUGCCUUUAUUUCACUUGGAGUUCUUCACUGAAUUAACCAAAAAAUAUUUAAACAACAAUACAUUUCUUUUUUUAAAAUUUGUUUUAAUUAGUUAUACAUGACAGUAGAAUGCACUUAUAUACUUUGAUGUAUCAUACAUAGAUGGAAUAUAAUUUCUCAUUUUUCUGAGUAUACAUAUUGUAGAAUCACAUUGGUCAUACAGUCACAUACAUACAUACAGUAAUAAUGUCUCUUUUAUUCUACUAUUUUUUUUUAUCCCCACAUCCCCUUCCUUCCCCUCCUCUCACUUCCCUCUACCUAAUCUAAGGUAACAUUAUUUUUUUUCUUUUGCAUUACAAUUCUUAAUACACAUAAAUACCACACUUUUUGUAUUUCUGUUUGUAUAUAAAGUAUGUUGACAUCCAAUUCAAGUCUUCAUAUAUGUACUUUGUAUAAUGAUGACCAUCACGUUCCACCAUGCUUGUUAUUCCCCUACCCCCCUCCUUUCCCUCCACCCCUCUUCCCUAUCUUGAAUUCCUCUAUUCAUCCCAUGCUUUCCCUCCCUAUCCCAAAAAUGCUCAUCAUCUCUAGCAAUCAGAGAAAUGCAAAUCAAAACCACUCUAAGAUAUCAUCUCACUCCAGCUAUUAUGAAGACAAACAACAAUAAGUGUUGGCGAGGACGUGGGGGAAAAUGUACACUCAUACAUUGCUGGUGGGACUGCAACAGUUUGUGCAGCCAGUUUGAAAAGCAGUAUGUAGAUUCCUUGGAAAACUGGGUGUGGAACCACCAUUUGACCCAGCUAUUCCUCUCCUUGGACUAUAUCCAAAGGACUUAAAAAUAGCAUAUUACAGGGACACAGCCACUUCAAAGUUUAUAGCAGCACAAUUCACAAUAGCUAAACUGAGGAGCCAACCUAGAUGUCCUUCAGUGGAUGAAUGGAUUUUAAAAAAUGUGGCAUUUAUACACAAUGAAAUUUUACUCAGCAUUAAAAAGAACAAAACCAUGCCAUUUGCAGGUAAAUGGAUGGUGUUGGAGAAGAUAAUGCUAAGUGAAGUCAACCAAUCCCCAAAAAAACAAAUAGCAAAUGUUUUCUCUGAUAUAGAGAGGUUGACGCAACAAUACAUUUCUUAAAAAUACUUUGUGAGCUCUUUGUAUGGUAGUAAUGUUUGUUUUCUGUCUGGAUCUAUGAGAGAUUAAGCUUUCAUUAUGAAAGUUCUAUCACAUUAGAGUACCUUUCAGAACAUUUCUCAGCUUUUUGUUUUUAUUUAAACAAAAAUAUCAACAAAUGUUUAUUCAUGAUAUUCCUCUGUUCUGUGUGUCAAGACCUAUGACAUGCUUUGACACAUGUUAAUGAAACAGGAUGAAUGUUGCCCAUGCUAUUAUUUCCUUUUGAUCAGGCAAUGGUUUCUUAGAUAUGACCCCAAAAGUACAAGCAACAAAAGAAAAAUUAAAUGUGACAUCAUAAAAUUAAAAACUUGGUGCUUCAAGGAACACCAUCAAGAAAGUUCACACCUGUAAUCCCAUGGCUCCUGAGUCUGGGGCAGGAGGAUUGUGAGUUCAAAGCCAGCUUCAGCAACUUAGUUAGUCCCUAAGCAACUCAUGAGACCCUUUCUCUAAAUAAAAUAUAAAAAAGGGCUGGGGAUUUGGGACUCAGUAAUUAAAUGCACCUGGGUUCAAUCCCUGAUUAUAAAUAAAAAAAGAAAAGAAAAGAAAGAAAAUGAAAAGGCAAGCCACAGAAUAAGAAAAAAUAGGGCUGGGGUUAUGGCUCAGCAGUAGAGUGCCUGCCUAGUACAUGUGAAGCACUGGGUUAAAUCCUUAGCACCACAUAAAAAUAAAUUAAAAAAUAAAGGUAUUGUUUUCAUCAAAAAAGAAGAAAGAAAAAUAUUUGCAAAUUAUAUACUUAGUAAAGACUUGUAUCCCUUGAGAAUAUAUUUUAACUUAAUAAUAAGAAAACAUGGGCAAAGGAUUUAAAAGACAUUUCUCCAAAGAAGAUAUACAAGUAGCAAAUAAGUAUAUGAAAAUAUUCUCAACAUCAGAAGUCAUUAGGGUAAUACAAUCAAUACAAUCAAUCAACAAGUACAUGAAAAAAUGCUCACCAUCUCUAGCAGUCAGAGAAAUGCAAAUCAAAACCACCCUAAGAUACCAUCUCACUCCAGUAAGAUUGGCAGCCAUUAUGAAGUCAAACAACAACAAGUGCUGGAGAGGAUGUGGGGAAAAGGGUACUCUUGUACAUUGNUCUGUAUUUGGGGUAAAAUUGGGAGUUCAUAACCAACUUGAAUCUAAUGUAUGAAAUAUGAUAUGUCAAGAGCUUUAUAAUGUUUUGAACAACCAAUAAAAAAAUAAAAAUAAAAAACAAAACAAAACAAAACAAAAAAAAAACCACAAUGAUAUCCUACUUUCCAUCCAACUAGCUGGCUAUAUAAUCAAAAAGAUGAACAAAAUAACAAGUGUUAGUGAGGAUUGGAGAAAUUGAAAACCUUAGGAAUUUCUGUUGGGAAGGUAAAAACAGUGCACCCCUGCUUUGAAAAAGAGUUAGUCAGUUCCUCAAAAAGUUAGAUGUAAGAGUUGCCAUAUUACCCAGCAAUUCCAUACCUCUUAAGGAUAUUUCCAGGAAAAUUUAAAAAGAUGUGUUCACACAAAAAUUUAUACAUAGAUGUUGAUAGCAGCAUUAUUUAUAUUAGUUAAAAAGCCAAAUAACCCAAAUGCCCAUCAAGUGAUGAAUAGAUAAAAAAUGUGAUAUGCUAUGUCUUUUGAAAACUAUAGAAGAUAUUUCUCCCAUCUGAUUUAGUAUUCAGAUUACUUAUAUUCUCAAAGUUCAAGUAUGUAAAAUAAUUAUAGGUAUCUGCAAAUCAGAUGUAAUUUGUGUGGUCUUUUAACCCCUAUUGUAUUAAUAACAUUUUCAAUGACAACCUUACUACUUGCAUAUGUGCUUGCAUAUAUUUAUAUAGAUUGAUCACAUUCUAAAAUUUAAAUAUAUCAGUAAUAGUUUCAGAAAUGUGAUACAUUUAUACAAUGGAACAUUAUUCAGCUAUAAAAAGGAAAGGAAUACUGAUACAUACUGUAGCCUGCAUGAACUUUGGAAACUUAAGUGAAAGAAGAUAGACACAAAAGGCUAAAUAUUGUAUGAUUCCAUUUAUAUUAAGUGCCUGGAAUUGGAAAUCCAUAGAGACAGAAAGUGGAUUAGUGGUUGCAAGUGAAAAGGGGGAAGGAUAUGGGGAGUGACUUCUAAUGAGUAUGGGGUUUCUUUUUGAGGUAAUGAAAAUGUUCUGAAAUUAGAAAGUUGCACACUUUGUAAAUAUACUAAAAGCCACUGAAUGGAACACUUGAUUUAAAUGGGUAAAUGUUAUGGCAUAUGAAUUAUGUCAGUAAAAUUGUUAAACUAUCAACCAAUAUAAUUUACUGUAUUACCAAAAUAAGGAGAAAAAAUAUAUUUGUUCUGAUACCAUAGAUUUUUAAAUUUUUUAAUUUGUUUUAAUUAGCCAUAUGAUUUUUUUCAACUUCUAUUUAUUAUAAAAACUUCAAAAUAACAGAAAUGGGAGGAACUUCCUCAGUCCAAUAAAAGGGCAAUUGCCAAAAACCUAUGACUAAAAUCAUACUUAUUGGUGAAACAUGGAAUAUUUUUUCUAACACUUAGAACAGGAAAAUACAGUUUCAUUCACAUUACCUCCAUUCAGUAUUUUACUGGAAUUCCAAAUUAGUACAAUAAAAUAAGUAAAAGAAAUAAAAGACAAAAGUUGGAAAGGAAGCAAUUAAAAAACUACAGUUUUUCUCAGAUUAUAUGGGAUGAAUCUAACAAAUGAUGUAGUAGACCUUUCUCCUGGAAACUACAAAACCUUGCUGGGAGAGAUAGAAGAAAACCUAAAUAAAUGGAGAUAUUAUUCAUGAAAUAUAAAACUCACAGUAAUGCUAAGAUACUCAUUCUUUCCAAAUUUAUUCAUAGAUUCAAAGCAGUCCUAAUCAAAUUUCAGCAGUUUUUGUUCUAUAACUAAGCUGGCUUUAAAAUUUAUAUAUGGAAAUUUAGAGGACCUAGAAUUGUAAAAAUCAACUUUAAAAGAGAAGAUGAAACUUAGAGGGCUUAUCCUACUGGACUUUUAUGACUUACCACAGGGUUACUAUAGUUAAGACAGUGUUCCCCAAUAGAAGACAACCCUGAACUCAGUGUAUCAGAAGUUCUGAGAUCAGCAGGAAUACCACUUUAGUCUUCUGCAGUUUAAAGGAAGGAGAUUACCAGAUAUGCUGAUGCAGCGAGAUCCAACAGAAACCGCAGAUAUUAUACAAUCACUAUCUUAGAAAUAUAGAUGGGAACUUGUGAUUCAAGAAUUAGGAUUUAUCCAGUUCUGGAAGUCCAGAAUAAACACUGGCAGUGUAGAUGCCAUUUGUCAUCAAAGGAAGGAGCUGUCUUUACAAUAAAGAAUUUCACAUUACAAAUGAAAAAUUAUAUACUCAACUGUAAUAAAAUAUUAUUUAAAAAGUGAAGGAGAUACUUUAAAUGAACACUUGUAUCUCAUAAUAGAUGGAUCUUAGUUUCUUCACAAACUUACCUAUUAUUUAUGUACUCUAUAAUGUACUUCAAGUAAGAAUAUGUUUUAAAUGUUAGUCUAUUAAUGUUUUCUUGAUUACCAAGCAUUCCCAGGAUUGAAAUAUUAAGAGCAUACUAUUACUAGUAAACUAUCACAGGUUUCCCAUAAUUUCACUUUUAUUUCAGUCUGCUUGGGGAUGGAAAUAAUUUGCCAGACAAUUGCUGUUUUGAAAGUGGAUGAGAGUCAGUGAAAUGAUGACCCCAUUAUUUAUUCUUAAUUCUCUUUUUAAAUUAUAAGGUUAUGUAAAUAUAAUUAGCUUAAUAAAUGUUUCCUAUUCUGUAAGAGUGAAAAUAUAACCUAGGUAAAACAGGUAACUUUGUGGUAUUUUGAUCUGGAAGAUAAUGAAAGAUUAUUUGUAAAUAAUAAAAGAUUAUACUCAGAAAACAAAAGAUCACAAUGAAUAUAGAAUAGGAAUAAACAGUGGGCUAGCAAUUAUAAUUUUUUGAGGAAUAUAACAAGAAGUCAUUUAUUAUUUGAUUGUUUUACCAUUUUGAUUGUGAUUGUGUGUAAGUCUUUUUUUGCAGUGUAGAGUGUUGACCAGGGACUCAAGCAUACCAGGCAAAGUGCUCUACCACUGAGCAUAGCAUCAGCCCUGUAUAUCUUGGUGACCAUUAACUUUCUCAAAUUUAAUGUCCAAAAACCUCACAUCAUCCUAAAUAUUUACCUAAAUAAAGCAGUUUAUAAAACUUUAAUAAGGUCUUCCUGUGCCAAGGGUAAAGCCUCCCAGAGCUAAAUAAAUUCUCUUCUAUAUCUUUGAAAGAACCCAGAAGCAUUGUGUUUCAUGAAUAAAGCCAGAUACAAAAGAGUGCUGGGUGAAUUAUUCCAUUUGUACCAAGUUCUGGAAAACUAAGAUAUGGUUAUACAAACCCAGAAAUGCUUAUAAAAGUAACAUGAAGGAAUUUGGGGGCAUAAUAGAAAUAUUCUUUACAGAAAACUUUCUAUUUAUAUUUUGGUUUUGUGGUUAUACAAAUUGUCAGAAGUCAUCAAACCAUUUAGUGAACGUCUAUACAUUUCAUAGAAUGUUGGUUAUGACUAUUUUUUGGAAGUCUGAAAAUAAGUAUUAGCAAGACCAUACAGAGGUAGUGUGGUGGAAUGAUUAAAAGAAUGGGUUUGGGACUUAGUCAUGCUUGGAUUUAAAUCCCAGAGUCCAUGCUUUAAAACUCAGGGCAUAUUCUUGGUUUCCUUAUCUUUAAAGAGGGACUAUCACUACUUGUUUGAUAGCAUUCUGAAAAUUGAUUGAAUGUUAUAAGUGAAGUGUAUGUAAUAGAAACUUCAUUAAUUAUGAUGGUCAUUGAUGGUGAUGAUAGUUGUAGAGGAUGGGGAAAUUGUGAAGGAUAUCAGAGUCGUUACACCACACAGCUCCCCAAGCCCCAUUUACACUAUAGUUGUGCUCUUGAAGGUGCCAUUUACAUGUACUAAGAUGAUCAAUAUUUCCUGGAUUUUCACCCUGCUUCCUAGGUAGAGAUGGUAGGUUUGGGUAAAAUCUUACUAACGUGUAAGUAUAAAUGAACUGACAAGUAAAUUCAGAGGUCCCAGGACAGGGGAAAAAAAGGGAAGGAUGGGGGGAAUUGAAGAAACCAGAAUGGAUACCCACCCCCAUAUCUGUAGUUUAGGUCAAUAUGGUGGUAAUGAAGCCUUUUCAAAAACUAUUCGACUAGAGGUUUACCAGUUUAACAGUAUAACAACUUAGUUUUUUCUUUCUUUUUGAAAUCUAAGGUUUGCCUGUAAUAUUUCUUAUAAACUCACCUAAAAUAAUACUUCUUUUAAAAGUAAAAGGGAAAAAUGUUGCUUACUAGCUACUUUUAAAUUUGUCUUACAUGAGCCUUGAGCAGACUGGCAGUCUUCUUGGAUUCCAUUUAGCAUUGGUCAGUAGAGUGCCUUUGAGUUAUAUUGAUGAUACAUACCUUAAAAGAGACUUCAGUUCAGAUGGUAGCAGCUGGUGACACUGGGUCAGCCAAUGGAUGUGUUGGGCUAUAUGGAUUUAUUAGUACUUAUGGAUUUGUUGGAUUAUAUUUUAGAUUUAUCAGAGUCAUCUAGAUGCAAGUUUGGCUUUAUCCUAAACCAAAUUUUAGUUGCUUUUGAUAAUAUAGUCCUCAUAUUACCCAACAACUGAAGGCAUCUGAUUCCUGGCAGGAAGCCAGCUGCCUCAAGAUAGUAGGUUAGGUACCACCAAAAAGCUAUGUACUAAGAAAACAUGCCAGACAGCUAAAUUUGGCAAAUGUACUAAUAGACCACCGGAAAAGUGGCUAAUCAAUGAUUUCAACUUGUACCUUUUAAGUUUGCCCAGAAUUUCAAAUGUAGAAACUUUUAUUUCUUUUCCAUGCUCUCAGAGCUGUCAGUAAGAUCCCACUGGGUCUAUUUAGAACGUCCUUUAGACAAUCAGAAGAUUGCAGAAAAUUGAAUAUGUGAAAAUCAAACUGUAAGACAGAACUUUCCUCAAGUUCUGAGGAAAAACAAGUUAAUUUCUAAGAGUAGUUGGUAACUUUAGUUUUGCCUAAUUAGUCUUACACCAUCAACUUCUUCCAAAUGAUUCAUCUGACAUUGCUCCAAAGCAAUAAAUAGAAUAACCACAAAGAGGGAAUUAACUGUGUUGGCAAGAGCAUAAAUCUUCUCAGAGGUAUGAACCAUAUUUGUUCAAGUAAAUCUCAUUUUAAUCAUGGUAUUUGGUUAGAUCUGUCUGUGCAAAGAUAAAUGUCUAGUACUUGGACUAGUAGAUUUUCCAUGUUAGUUGAAAAGAGGGAAUAAACUUUUAUUUUGGUUAUAGCAACAUGAAAAAUAAUGAAAACACAAAUUUCUCUACAUAGUUACAUGGCUUUCAAUCAUAAUUGUGAACUUAACAUUAGAGUGUCACUUUGUUAUCUUCUAGUACCCAACAUUUUAGACAGAUAUGUGCUGUUGCAGGCAGAAGGGUGCCUGCUGUUUUCCCACAGGACAUAUACCAUUGCAUGUAAAUGAGACAAGUGUACUUGAGAAUGAUUACCCUUAAUACCUAUAGUGAGUGAGUAAUUACAUAAUGGUGUUUUCUUUCUUUUAGUUGGGAAGUGGUAGACAAGUGAUGAAAGAAAUCUUUUCUUGUUUUUUUUUUUUGCCGGGUAAUCUCAAGACAAGACGGUUAUCUUGGUCUUGUUGUUCUUAUUUUGUACAAGUAAUUUCCUAACCUGAAGCAAGGUUUUGGUUUCUAUGAUUGUAAAUAUUCAGGAUCCUCCAUUGACUUUAUGCUAUAACAACUUUUAUUACAUUAUUUUAUUAAAUACAUGAAUAACAAUAAUAGAAUUGACUAAGGAUAUAGUAUAUGUGGUAGUACCAAUGGCCACACAGGGUCUAGCACAUAGUAGGCCUUUUGUAAAUAUAUCUUUAAUAAGUGACUCCAUGUUGGGACUUAGGGUAGAACUGCUAUGGACACAAGAUUUUGUCCCCACGGUCCUUCCUUUUCAGGUGCUUCCUUUUAUCUCUAGAUUUGAGAUAAAAAAAAGCUGGAUGAAUCAAAUCAGUUUUUAAACAUUUUUAAAAAUUAUAUAAACAUUUUAAAUUUACAUAAAAUACUAAAUUUAACAUAUGGUUUAAACAUUUUAAAUUUUAUAUAAAAAACUGAUUUAUUUCCUCCUAUAAGAGCAGAAGACUUGACAAUGAAGCAAAUAAGUGGUCAUCAUUCUGGUGAGGCCUGGGUACUUCUUUGACAGUCCUAUACCUGGUCUACCUACCUUACAGGCAUGUAAGAGUGACCCCUGUUGUAGAUUUUGAGCCCUAAACAAAGUCUGUCUGCUAGAAUACAUAUUCAUUCCCAUAUCAUUCACCCAACAAAGAUAGUUUCCGUAUUUUUUUAAGGUCUUCAUGUUGGAAUGCCCAUUCUAUUUAAUCCUAAGGACUAAAAAUUCUUUGUGAUAGAAACUAAGUGUGUUUUAUGUCUUGUAUAUAAAGCAGUAAUGUAAAUUGGUGAAAACAUUACAUUUUAGUAUUAACUAAUUGAGACAUUUGGCUAUGGUUAAGCUAUUCUAUUUACAUUCCUUUCAAAUACUUCUGGAUACAAUAAGUGGUAGGUACUGACAAUUUACUUUUAUGCUCUUGAGCUGUCAUCACUGUACUUACAUGUUUGGACUAUACUGUCUGCUGCAGUGUUGAAGGGAUGAAAAGAAACUUACUUAAGGAUGGGGAUUAUAUUAACACUGUUGUUAUGAGAUGCUCAAAAUACUUGCACACAGCUUUUUCUUGAAAUAGAAAGAGUAAUAGUAUUUUAAAUGUGUCCUCUGUAAUAGGUGAGAAAGCCAAUAAUUUCCAAUUUCUUCCAUUGAUGGUUCUUAGAGAUAAUUUUUUUUUUAAAGACAGAGUGAGAGAGAGAGAGAGAGGGAGAGAGAGAGAGAAUUUUAAUAUUUAUUUUUUAGUUCUCGGCGGACACAACAUCUUUGUUUGUAUGUGGUGCUGAGGAUCGAACCCGGGCCGCACACAUGCCAGGCGAGCGCGCUACUGCUUACACCACAUCCCCAGCCCAGAGAUAAAAUUUUGAAUAGUUAGAAUGUACUAACUAUACUGCUCCAUUAAAAAUGUCUAUGAUACAUAUUUUUUUUAAAUUCCUACAAGUUUUCAAAGGUUCAUAGUCAGACAGGAAGUCUUUAAAUUGAAGACCUUUGAGGUAUGAUAAGUUCCUUAAUCUAGAAAUUUAUGGUUUUUGUUCAGUAUGCCAUAUUUUGGGGAAAAAAUAAAAUUUAUAAGAUUUUUCACCAUCAAAGGUGACAAAAAGGCAUUUCUUUAUAACUUCAUUUAACCAGCAAGAACUUAUUACAGUGGCUAGUAAUGACUGACUAGCAAGGAUACCUGAGUUAUUUGACUUUUCAAUUUUUUGCUAUUAAAAAAAAACUCAGUUUGCUUAGGAGAAGAAUUUUGACAAAAAACAAUAUCUCUUCUUUUUCAAGAAUUAUUUUUUAAAUAAACACUACUGAGUACCUUCUGUAUUUAGGUGCUUUUCUGGGGAUAUAAAAAUGAGCGAAAUAGACAAGGAUCCCUGUGCUAGCAGAUUUAGAUGCUUAUGGAGGAAACAAUAUAAUCAUGGCAUAUACUUGGCAAGGAGAUGGAAGCUGGAUGGAUUAAGACAGUAUUAGGUAGGCCUCACUGAGAAGGUGACAUUUAAAUAGUGUUGGAAGAUUUAUGGGAGUGAGGCAGGAACAUUCCAGGCAUAGGGAACAGCAAGUGCAAAGACCCUCAAGUAGGAGUGUGCCUGCUAUGUUGUAGGAACAGUGAAGAAGUCAGUUUUAAUGGGUUGUAAUAGUGGUGGAGGACCAGAUCAUGUAGUCAUUGUCAGAAUUUUGACUUUUCCUUUGAGAUGGUAGCCGGAAACAUGAUCUUACUUGCAUUUUAAGGGACCACUCUAGAGCUGGGAGUGGUAACAAAGACCUGUAAUCCUGGCUACUCACAAGGCUGACACAGGGAUAUUAAAAGUUCAAGGCCUGCCUGGGCAAUGUAGUGAGAUCCUGUCUCAAAAUAAAAUUUUUAAAAAGGGCUGGGGCUAUAGCUCAUUGGUAAAGCACUUGCCUAGCAUGUGUGAGGUACUGGGUAUGAUCCUCAGUACCACCAAAAAAAUAAAAAGAGGCUAGUCCAGCUGCUGAAAGAGAGGCAGGUAGGAGGUCAUUGUCAGGUAAGAGAUAAUAAUGACUGGACUUGAGCAUUAGCCAUACAGAUGAUGUGAAGCUGUUGUCUUCUGUGUAUUUUUUAAGAUAAGGCAAUUAGAAUUUGCUGAUAGGUUGAAUGGAAAUAUGAGGGAAAUAGAAAAGGCUCCUAAGAUUUUGGUCUAAGUAGUUAGAAGAGUAGGGUUGCCAUUUACUUAGGUGGAGGGGAGGAAAAUUUGAGGGAAAGAAGUGGGAAUCUUGUUAGACAUGUUAAUUCUGAGAUACCUGUUAAGUAUUGAGUGGGCAUGUCCAGAAGAUAGUUGGAUGCAUAUGUCUGAAGAGAAGACUAAACUGGAGAUAUAUAUACAUUUGGUAAUCUUGGAUGAUAUCACCGAGGGAGUAAAUACGGACAAGAGAAGAGAGACCUGAAGAACUCCUUUAAUUUGGAGAACCAAUCAAGGGGACUAGGAAGUCAUGAUCAUAGAGGUAAGAAGAGAGGAAAAGUGAGCAUAAUAUUUUAAACACUGAAGGAAGAACUAUUUUCAGGGAGGAGAGUGUGAUCAACUUUACCACAUGAUUGUUGCUGGGCCUCUUGAAAUUAGGGAAGUUGAAUUUGACAUUGGAAACCAUUUUGUUAAGAGGGGAAUAGUACAGAGGUCAAGGUAAAAACCAUGACCGUAGAGGUUUACAAGAGAAAGAAAGGAAAGAAUUUGAGGUCACAAGUGUGAACAACUUUUUCAAAGAACUUAAAUGGAAGUAAAGAAAGAGAGUGGUAACUAGAGGAGGAGGUAGAAUUGAUACUUUACUAUACACACUACAGAUAUUUUUCUAUGAAAUAAAUGGAAAACAAGUGGUUCAACUUACUGAGAUACCUGGAACACUCCAACAUGUACUGGUUGGGGAGGUGAGAAAAAACCAGCACAGGAAACUGAGAUUCAGUUUUGGAGUCAAAUAAAGGGAAGUCUGAGAAUAUUUGUUGUAAUAAUUGCAGGUAUGACUGGUAUUAAAGGAUGCCAUGCCUUCACAUUCAGGAUGAAUUGGCUUAAACAGAUUUCUUGAUUGUAGUAUGUCUGAAUUUUCUGUGCUCCUAUACCUAACUAUGUCUAAGAAUGGAAUGAGGCAGAGCAGUAAGUUUGCCACACUGCCCUCCCCUCCUUUCCUCUCCUCUCCUCUCUUCUUCCUCCAGAGAGUACCUCCCAGGACCCAGCAGAAGUCAGGGAAAUUUACGUCACAGUGUCUUAACAGUUCUUUGAAGUUGCAUGGGUCUGGUCGAUAAGAAGUCAAAAAGCAGGUGAUUUUGACAAGGAAAACUUUCUUUAAAGAAUUUGGUUUUUAAUUUUACUCCUCCUAAAUUCCUCACUGACAGAUCAACUGAGAUUCUCAGGAAAUAGUCCAUUACACAAAUAGUAGUUUUACUCUUUAUGAUUGUUUAAACAUUAGCCUUUCAUUUCUUUUCAAAUACCAGAUGCUCUUGGAAAGAGUAAUAUCAAUGUUAUCUGGUAGCUUACCAACCAGAAGACUGUAACUGAUGUUUUGGAUUUUCACCUACUACAAAUAAUGAGGAUGUUGCGACCUCCCCAGAAAGUUCUUUACAAAGAGGAGACUAGGCAGCUGUCUUUACCAAGAAAAUGGUGGCCUAGAACCUCCCCUAUGGACCUUAGGGGAAGCCCCCAGCAUCUGCAUAGAAGUUGGGAUCAACUGAACCCUCAUUCUGCAGAGCCCAGAUAGAUUCUUUCCUUUUAGCUUAGUAUCUCCCUGCCCCUUCAGAGAAGAAAUGCCUGAGUCAAGUUACAGAUCUAAGGUCUCACAGCUACAAAGUUGUGGAGCUAAGUGAGUCCAGACACACAAUCUUUUUUUAAAAAUUUUUUUAGUUGUUGAUGGACCUUUAUUUAUUUAUAUGUGGUGUAGAGAAUUGAACCCAGUGUCUUAUACAUGCUAGGCAAGUGCUCUACCACUGAGCUACUACCCCAGCCCUAGACACACAAUCUUAACUCCAGAACUCAAGCUUCUAAUCACUUAAAACCUCAUGACUUUGGGAGUCACAAACUAGGAAGUGACUUAAUUAGAGAGGUAUAUUUGAGAAUUUCAGCAUGUAAAUGCUGUACAAAACAAAAUUGGAUAAUAUCACCAGUGGAGAGAAUAUAAACAGGGAGAAAAAAAGAAGAAGAAGAGGCCCAACUUCUAGGAACUCCCAUCUUUAUAAAUUGGGGAGAUGAAGAAGAGCCAUCAAAGGAUCCUGAGGAGUUGUGGCUAGAGAUGUUGAAGGAGAACCUGGUGAGCAUGGGCUAGAAAUCAAGGAAAGAAUGUGUUUAAGGGAGAAGAGUGUCACCUUUUUCAGAUGCUGUUGCUGGAUCUUGUAUGGACAUCAGUUACCAUGUUCAUUCUUUUCUUUUUUUUAUUUUAAGUAGUCUUAAAGAGUAGAGUGGGGACAUAGUCAUACCUUCCCAGAUGAGUCUAGAGCCAUAAGAAAAGUAAGAAAAAUAUAUAGAUUAGUUAAUCAAUUAGUUAUGAUCAUAUUGCUUUAUUAAACACUCACUAAAUCAUCCUGCUACAUAAUUGAGAAAAGGAAAGAAAAUGACAAGGAAAAAAAUUCCAGUCCUGGUACUAAAUGAAUUCCCCUGGGAUACAGUGAGCUAUUCCACAUUAUCUACUAUUAACAUUUUGUAACUGAUUUUUUUUUUGGUAUGUUUUCUUUUCUUUUUUUUCAUUUUUUAUUUAUUUUAUUAUUUUUUAAAAUACACAACAACAGUGGAAUGCAUUACAAUCCUUAUUAAACAUAUAGAGCACAAUUUUUCAUAUCUCUAUAGAGUAUGUUCAAGCCAAUUUAUGCCAUUAUACAUGUACUUUUUUGCAUUACAAUUCUUAAUACACAUAUAUACCACAAUUUUUCAUAUCUCUGUUUGUAUAUAAGGUAUGUUGACACCCAAUUCAAGUCUUCAUAUGUGUACUUUGUAUAAUGAUGACCAUCACAUUUCACCAUCCUUUUACAUGAAAUCACAUAUACUGAUUUUUUGUUUCACUAUUUUACAUAAAAUAGUACAUGUUAUUAAAUAAUAUUUUAAAAAAUCAGAGUUUUAAAUGUCUCUACAAUCUCAGUGUGCACCAUUAACAUUAUGGAAUCACAGAUGUAUUUUCAUACAGGCUUUGCCCUGGUAGAAGUGGAAGUACAAGUCCCCAAGGAAGGCUGAAAAAUCUAGCCUCCUAGGAUACUUUGGUAUGGUGAGCUUUGGUAGGUGGUCUUCAGAUUACCCUCUCAGAACACUGCUUUUAAGGGUUAGGUUGAAUCUAAGAAGGUGGGACAGAUUUCCAAGACUAAGUGAGACUCUAAUUAGUUCUUAGAAAGGCUAAUAAAAAAAUGCAAUAACCAGAUUCUAGGAAAAUUUAGAGACAUGAACUUUUUAAAAAUUAUUUAAACAUUUAUAGGGACAUUCUAAGAUAAAACUAUGUAGUAUGUCACAAUCAGAAAGGACCCUGGAUAUAAUUAAGUCCAAGUUUUUAUUUUUACCUGUAAGAAUGCCAAGAUCCAAAGCUAGUGAAUUUCUUGUCUAGAGAUUAUUCAGUCCAUUAGCAGCGGAAUUCAGGCUUAAACCUAGAGUUCUUCUGUUAGAUUUAGAUAUGAGAUCUAUCCCAAAAGCUGAUGUGUAAGACAAUGCAAGAAAAAAGGUGAAGUAAUUAGGUUAUGAGAGCCUUAACCUAUUCAGUGCAUUAAUCCCCUGAUAGGGAUUAAUUGGGUGGUAACUGAAGGUGGGUAGGGUGUGGCUGGAGGAGGUAAAUCCCUGGGGGCCUUUGGGGUAUAUAUUUUGUCUUUGUUGGGUAGAGUUCUCACUCCGCUUCCUGGUGUGAUGUCCUGAACUACUUUCCUCUGCCAUAUCUUGGAUAUUCAUACCUGAGGAAUGAAUUAGCCAUCUGUGGACUGAAACUUCUGAAACCGUGAAGCCCAAAUAAACUUUUUGUACUUAAAAUUGUUCUUGUCAGGUCUUUUAGUCACAGCAGCAAGAAACUGACUAAAACUCAUUCUGAAAUUGGUUAUUAAAAUCUGCAACACUAGCUUUUUUGAGCAUGCUUUAUUUUACCCUGAAAAACUGCUUCAUCAUAGGCCACCUGCAGUGAAAGGUGAAACAGAGCUUAAUUUAACAUCCUUCUUCAAAGUAAGGCUUUGUGGGCAUAAAGAAAGCCCUAAAUUUGGAGUCCAGAGGCAUUCAUUCACAUCUCAGUUUUUCCAUUUCCUCUUUGACCAUAAUAAACCACGUAACCAUUCUAUGACUUGCUGUGUGUGUGUGUGUGUGUUUUCCAGUUGAAAAAUAGGUAUAGAAUACAUCCUUUUACCUGAUGGGGUAUUUUGAGAUCUCAUCAAUGUAAAAGUACUAUGGAAACUAAAGCAUGUAAAGAUGGGGACUUGUUAUUUUUAUUAAGAUUUCACAAGGACCUAGUUUCUAUAUUCUACAAAGACAUUUAUUGCCUUUACAGAAAGAUCCAUGUGUGUUUCAUUCUUCUGUUCUUCUAUAAGAAGUGAAGAAUAAAUAUGUGCUAAAUAGUGGAGAGCUUUUAUCACCUUUAGCAAAGGGAAUAUUCAUGAUAAUUCUCCAUGUGAGAGGUGGGAUAAUAGUUACUGUUAGGCUUGCAGUGUUUAUGUGGGUUCACUCAUAGGGCUUUUAAGCUAAAAAUAGGAGGGAACUCUUGUCUGAUGUUCCCUCUAACUGAAAUGUGGUAUCAGUAGGCAUGGUAAAAGAAGAAACAAAAGUGACCGUGAGCCUGAAACAACAUGCUGUUCUCAUCAGAGAGUAUUUUAAUCUUAUUUUAAGGCUCUUUGGACAUGAUAUUUUUAUUUGAGAACAAUAGAACUUUUUGCCCUUUAUAUAGCCCUGUUUUGGUGCUAACAAUGAAAUUUACCAUAGUGCUGUCAUUGUGUUUUUUUCCACAUUUGCCAAUGGAUUUUUUAUGGCAUACUUGUUUUAAAUGUGGAAAACAAGGUAGGGGUUGCAUACAGUAAAAUGACAAACAUAUGGAAUCGAUUCUUCAUGUUGUUGAUAUCUCUGAUUUGUUAGGUUGAACUUGAGAAUCUUCAGAUUGCUCCAGCCUAUUUACUUUUAAUGUAAGACAGUGAUGGAAUAGAAAUAAAUACUCAUUUUUUUAUUUAUUAACAAUGUAUGGGAAAGUUAAAUGAAAUCAGCAUUAGGGAUCUCAAAACUCAGAAAGGAUCCUCUAGAGAUCUUUGCCCACAGUCCUUAUUUCACAUUGCCCCAAUGUUAUCCAGGCUUAGAAAGUGAUUACUAGAUCUUUUGGGCAAUAAUUAAUGGCUUUUUAUUCUGUAAAAACAUAUAAUAUUCCAGACAAUAUUAAGAAGUUUCAUGUAAAAUUGUCAGCUCAUAGAAUACAUCUGCUUUCAGGAUGAGGUCUGAAGACCAGACUAUUUUUAGAGCAGUUACUACAUUCCAAAUUUAAUGCCGCACACAGAGAAUGCUCAGAAUAUACUUAUUCACAAAAUGUGUGUCCUUGAAAGACUGCUUUUGAAAGCUGUGGGCAGGAACUUCUGGGAAAUGGAUGGGGGUGGCAAUAUAUUCUGAUUCCACUUUAAAGACCAAAAAUAAAAUCCCCAAUAAAAACAAGGCAUUAAAUCUAGCCAGACACACUUCCCCAGCCUAUCUUUAUGAAAUUGGCUGCUUAAGGUCUAUCAUGUUUGUACCAGUAAAAGGACUGGUGAAGAAUUUACUUUGUGAGAAUGUAAGGUGUGCUCAGCCCACAGUACCAUCUCACAGAACCAAAUUUUCAUUGCCCAAGUCACAUAAUGAUAAACACAAAAGAGACACUUAACCUAUAGUUAAAUGGAUUUUUAUUCUAUAAAACAUGCACAUUAUUGUAGAUUGUAUUUAGAAAAUGCAUGUGACACUGCCAGUGUAUGAAAAAAGUAGAAGUUGUCUAGGACAGGGAGAAGAAGGAGCAAAGGACACAGCAGGAGAUAUUUCAACUCAGAACUAAUGGAAACCAGAGCUUAUGGGGCAAUGCAGACUUAAUUCGGUGUCACUUUGAGGUCUCUACAUGUUACAAUAUGAAUUAAAUCCCCCCAAAUUUGUAUUUUUGCAUUCAUGGUUUUCUAAUCAUUUCAUAUGGUUUUAUUUGUCUUCCCAACAAUGUUACAUGUUAUUAGAAGGCAGUUUCUCAGCAUUCUACCACUUUGGUUUUGUCAGUAGCACCCAAGCAUAUUGAGCUUAUUGUUUUUGAGCCUUUAAGAUUCAUGAUACAGCAUACUAGUAUACGCAAAGCCUUUAGUAAUAAUCAGCAAUUAUUUUGUUGGUAGUAGCAAAACAGUAGCAUCAAAAGUAUUGGCUUAAAAAUAUUAGUAUCUUCAGCUAUGCAACUAAUUUUUUAAAAUACUUUUUAUUUGUUCUAAUUAAUUAUACAUGACAACAGAAUGCCCUUUGAUAUAUAGAAGGAGUAUAAUUUCUUAUUCUUUUGGUUGUACAUGAAGUAGAAACCCACUGGUCAUAUAGUUAUAUAUGUACAUAGGGUAAUAAUGUCUGAUCAUUCUACUAUCCUUCCUACCCCCAUACUCCCUCCCCUAAUAUCUUGUUCUAUUUUUGCAGACUGACAAACUUUUGAAACAGUUUCCCAAUUCUGGGAUAUAUAAUAAUCUGUAAUAGAGAUUGUGCUGUACAAUAUUUAUGCUAGGGCUGUGUGUGUGUGUGUGUGUGUAUGUGUGUUUUGAGCAGCAAUAUUUACAUUUAUUGAGAUAUACUUUCUUUGCAUGUAUUUUCUCAUAUAGUCUUUAUCAACCUUAUGAUAAAUGCUACUGUUUUAUCCACAGAUGUAGGGUCCUGUUAAGGAACCAGCAGAGUUCACACAGCUAAUAAGCACAGAACCCUGGAAUAAACCAGUAAUGGUUAAGAUAACAGCAAUUGCUACAACAAGCAAAUUCUCAAAUGCAUAGUUGAUCACACACAAUAGUAGUGUAGUUCUCGUUCACAUUGAGAACUCACCUCGCACACAAAAUUGAGGUUUCUGAUUGGCAAAGGACUCUCCUCUAGAUGAUGAUAUGGGAUCUCAGACUCCUCCUAUCUCAUAAGCCUUUGGAUCAUCAGAAAGAGUCUGGAGAAUGGUGCAUAGAAUGAUAUUGUGCCAGAUCUUCUAUCAUGGUGCUUUUCACUUUAGUCCAUUGACCUGAUGUCAGUCACAUAGCCAUACCUAACUGCAAAGGAGGCUGGGAAAUGUAGCUUUCCGCCCACCCCCACCACCCCAGAAAGAAGAAUAGGUAACCAAGAACUCCAGGUAUUCUGAUUCUGUAGCUCAUGCUCAUGGCCAUUAUGAUGCCUCUGUAGAUUAAUUUUAGAAUUGGACAUAAUAUGUGGAAUACAUAAAGCAUUUGUUUAGCCACUGGUUGAUGAGUACACCUCUACUCUGUUUUGCAAUGCUGUUUUGUAAAUCUCUCCACUGCUAAGUGUUUUGCCAGUGUCAUUUAUUCUAUUUGUAAAUGCCUGCAUUGCUUUGACUUUAGUAUCUUGCUUUCAAGUUUUCUACAUUAAAAAAAGAAAACCAAACCCUCAUAAUUAUGAAACUGGUGAACAAAAUAUUUCCAAGAGAUUAUUUUGGAUGAUGUCUGUCUAGAUUUUGUUUUUCUAACUCCACCAAAGUAGGAUAAUGACUUGUUUAAGAGAGUCUUCCUUUGACUCCCAUGGAAGAUCUCAAACAAAUCUCCCAAAGUGGAAAAAUGGUCAUAUGUUGAGUAGAGAGGCAGAGGAUUAAAAUAUAACCACUAAAUAAGGCUUUAGACUUUUAAAUAGUGUAUUUCAAUUUUCCUUAAAACCACAGAAGAGCAGUCCCUCAGGUGGUCUUCAAGAAUUUUAUCAUGUGAAUGUGAAUGCCAGGAAAUAUAAGACACUACUUAGAUUCAGUAUCAAGUAAUUAUAUAAUUAUUUUUUCUUUAUUUUUAACUUUAUUAUUUUGAAAUCCUCAAGCUAAAUGUAUUUGGUUUUUAAGAGAGACAUAGCCCUAAGAAUAUUGGUUUUGAAUAGUCAGUUUAGUUUAUAAUUUAUAGUUCUUCAGGAGUGUUAACCUCAAGGAUCUAUAAGGAAUUAGCAAGAAAGCAGAGAGUUCCAGCUAUAAGAUCAUUUUAUUCCACUGGUGUAGAGCUGUUAGCAUCUGAGAAAUCUAAAGCUCUGACUCUAUUCAUAAAUAGCAUAAUCAAUUGAAAAUGGAAACAUUUAGUCAGUCUAUUCUUUAAAAAUCUAAGAAGGAUCUUUACUCUGACAAUGUAGUUUGAUUGGCUUUUUAUAUGAAAUAAGUGAUCAUGCUAGUUACACACUUUAUACUUUUUGUGUAUAUAAACACAAUCCUAGAGGGUAUAUUAUGGUCAUCUAUUCUCCGUUUCCUAUACUUUGAAAGUUCUAGGGAAUACCAAGGUAUAUGUAAGACAACCUAAAAACUGAAAAGCAAAUCAAAACCAAGAUGUCACCAGUGAGACAUUCUCAGAUGGGUGCUAUAGAACUAGGAGAAGAGCUUCUAGAUUGAAUUGUGUCCUGGAAGUCUUUCCUUCAGAAAGAUCCAGAAAAGGAUAUUAAAGGUAUGGAAUCAUGGAUAGAGAGCUAUACAACUGGGGUAUGUAGCAGGAUGACUCCAAAUGGAUUAUUCUCCUGCAUUUCAUGUGUUAUUUCUCAUGAAUUCUAAAUUACAAUAAAAUUGCACUGCUGCACUCAAAUAUUGCUGGUGGGUCUGCAAAUUGGUGUAACCACUCUGGAAAGCAGUAUGGAGACUCCUUACAAAACUUGGUAUGGAACCACCAUUUGACCUAGCUAUCCGACUCCUCAGUCUAUACCUAAAGGACUUAAAAUCAGUGUACUAUAGUAACACAGCCACAUCAAUGUUUAUAGCAGCUCAAUUCACAAUAACUAAACUGAGAAACCAAGCUAGAUGCCCUUCAAUAGAAAAAUGGAUAAAGAAAAUGUGGUAUAUAUACACAAUGGAAUAUUACUUAGCAUUAAAAGACAAUAAAAUUAUGGCAUUUGCAUAAUGCAUGGAGUUGGAGAAUAUCAUUCUAAGCAAAGUAAACCAAUCCCCCAAAAAACCAAAGGCCAAAUGUUCUCUCCAAUAAGUGGAUGCUAAUCCAUAAUGGGGGGCAGGGGCAUGGGAAAAAAAUGGAGGAACUUUGGGCAAACUCUGGGAGGUGGGGGAGAGGAGGGAGUAUGGGGGCAGGAAAGAUGGUGGAAUGAGAUGGACAUUAUUACCCUAGGUACAUGUAUGACUGCAUAUAUGGUGUGACACUACAUUGUGUACAAUCAGAGAAAUGGAAAGUUUUGCUGCAGUUGUGUAUAUGAAUCAAAAUGAAUUCUGCUGUCAUAUAUACCUAAUUAAAAUAAAUAAAUAAUUUUUUUUAAAAAUUGCACUGCUGUUUAAAUAGUUGUAGGCUCCUUGUUAAGUUCCUCUGCUGAUAGGAUACCAUUGAAUCUAUUUAGUCCUUAAACACUCAAUAUAAAAUACUUUAUUGAAUUUUUAAAUGUUGAUUUCUAAAUUCAUUGUAGAAAGUGGUCAAGAGAAAUUCAAACCCAUUUCUCUAAAGAAGUGUUUGGAGAUAAACACUCAUAUAAAACAUUUUCUUAAACAGCUCCCACUAUUUAUAUGACUUGAUGCCCCAUUGAAAUCCCCACAGAAACCUGGAAGUACCUGUGGCUUAAACUUUUUCAAACCAAGGUCACUUAUUUUCUAAUAAGUCAGAAGAUCAUGUUGAUGGAUGAAACUGGUGAAGAAUUGACAUAUGAAUAAUUAACCAUUUUAUUCUCCUCAACACCAACAUUGUUCCCACAUGUUUUAUAAUUGGGAAAUCUUCCUGGACUAGAUGAUGAUUUAGGGAAGAGACCAUCUUGAGAAAUUAAUCAUAACAACUAAUUUGUCUAGUUUUUUAUUUUGAAUAUUUAUGUUUUUUUCAAACAGUUCAAUUUAUAAAAAUCUAAAUGUAUGUGUAGUAUUUUGCCCAAGUAUAGUUGAUAAACAUCUCAAGAUCAUUGCCAACUUUUCUAAUCUCACCCCUUUUUUCCCUUCCUAACUUUCCUUGAUACUUUGUGGCUGACUUCAGCUUAUUUAGAUAAUCUGCUAUCAUAAGCUUGGCAAGGGUGGGAGUGUUAGAAAUAAUUUUUGAUUGGCCAUCUGUGUUUUUGUAAACCUCAGGAGAUUGCUGUCAAGUCCCCUGGUCGAUGGAACAGGAGUUCCCUCCUUCGGUGCUGAACUUUUCUGUGGUCAGCAGGAAAUCCAUUGCUUUAAUACCACCAUUCCCAAGACAAUUUUUAAAUUAUCUGCUUUGAAAUGUUGGAACUCUUCAAUCUUUUUUAAACACUCCAUUUAUUCUCUUUGUCCUCUGAUGCCUGAACCAUCAUGACUUCCAGGUGAUCCCUUUAGAUUCUCCCUGAAUUGCUGGGAAGUCUGAGAACAGAUUUUCCUGUGAGCAUCUCUGUUAAGAAUAGAUUGUUGGUUAAUCUACUUGCAAAAUUCCAAUCUAUUUAUGAAUAGAAUAGUGGUGUUGAUGUUUUUCCUAUGCAAUCUCUAUCAUGGAUUAAUUUCUUGUGAGUUCCUUCUCUUAUGAAUAGCUAUAUGGAUCAGGUAGUAAUUUGUCAUUUCUGCUUUCUUUCUUUCUUUCUUUCUUUCUUUUUUGUAAUUGUGGUAAAACAUACAUGAGUUGGCUUUACCAUUUUAACCAAUUUUAAGGGUAUAUAGUUCAGUGGUAUUAAAUAUAUUCACUUGAAUGAAACCAUUACCACUUUCAUCUCUGGAGCUUUUUCAUCAUCCCAAAUGGAAAUUUUGGACCCAUUAAAAAGUAUCUCCCAUCCUAUUCUCUCCCAAGCCGCUGGCAACCACAUUGCAUUUUAUAGCUAUGAAUUUGACUAAUAGGUGCCUGUUAUGGUUUAAAUAGAAGAUGUCUCCCAAAAGUUUCUGUGUUAAUACAGGAGUGUUUGAUGGUAAAGUGAUUGUAAUGUGAGAACUUUAACCUAAUCAGUCCAUCCUACUUUGAAUGGACUGACUGAGUGAUAACUGUAUGCAGGUGGGGUGUGGCUGGAGAAGGGUUCUAUCCUGGAGGGAUUAUUCUUCCCUCUCUUUCUCUGCUUCUUUGCUACCAUGAGGGGAGCAGCUUUUCUCCACCGUGCUCUUCCACCAUGAUACUCUACCUCACCUUGGACCCAGAGCAAUAGAGUUGGUCAUCUAUAGAUUGAGAACUCUGAAAACAUGAGCCCCAAAUAAACUUUCCCUCCUCUAAGUUGUUUUUGUCACAGAUUUUGGUCACCAUGGAAAGCUGACUAAAACAGUACCUCAUAUAAAUAGAACCAUACUAUUUUUGUCCUUUUCUGUCUGGCUUAUUUUACUUAGCGUGUUUUCAAGAUUCACUCAUGUUGUAGCAUGGGUCAGAAUUUCAUUCAUUUUUAAGGCUGAACAAUAUUCCAUCAUAUGUAUAUACCAUAUUUUGGGUUACUUUCAUCUUUUGCCUAUUGUGAAUAAUCUGGUGUGAACAUUGGUGUACAUAUAUCUGAGUCAUUGCUUUCACUUUUGUGGGGGAAGAGUAUAUUUCCAGAAGUGGAAUUGUUACAUGAUAAUGCUAUGUGUAAGCUUUUGAGGAACCACCAUCCCAUCUUUUAUUCUUAAUCCAUGUCAUAGCUGCAUGCCUAUAUUCCUGACUAAAGGAUGAGAUUAGAGAUGGAACUGACUGAGGGACUCAGGAUUUUUUGUUUGUUACUUUAGGAAGACCUUAAAUAAACGUUCUGAUGGAUGAUGACUUGGAAAAAAAUUCUCAAUCCAUGGUACAAAUGACUAAAAGUAAAAACAGUCUCAUCAAUGUUGAACUCCAGGAAUUGUGGGAUUUGAGAUUUUUGUGCGUGGAGUGACAAUGUGUGCUGAUCAGCAGGACAAAAAAAAAAAAAAAAAAAACUUCCUCUUUUAAGUUCCCUCCCCACACACAGAUUAAUGAGGCAUCACAAGAAACAAAAGUUCCAUAAGUUUGUUUUACUAGAACUUCUUAGGUUUGAUAUACUUACGUGGUGAGACCCAAAUUUGGCUAUCAGCUACAGUAAUUAGAACAGAUUCUGAGGCAUGAUUCUUGGUGGCCUGAGUCAGGUGAAUGAAUUCAAGGAUACUUGGAUUCUAAGAGGUAUCAUAGAGACCUCCUUGCCCAGCUUCACCUCCAAAUUCAACCCACCUCACCCUUGUACAUUAUAGAUUGCUUCCUGGCUUGCACACAGAAAAACUAAGUACCCCAAACCAUUUCCUAUUCUUCAUUAUUUUCCAGAUUAUUGACUUUUGUCAGCUACUCUUACUGGACUUGUGCAGUCAGCCUCUGAGGAGUGUCUGCCCUCACACUAUAAACCAAAUGGCUUGUUAUUCCACAUAAACUUAUACCUGCUUCAUUUUUGGUUGCAUAGAAGCGUGUAGUCCUACCCUGGGUGUAGCCUAACAAUCUUAUUCCAUGGACUUGAACUCACUGUGGUUCAGUCCUUAGGAAAAGCUGUUUAGAGAAACAGAAUUAAAGAGGAUUAACUGAAUGUUAUGCCACUCCUUCGUUUUUCCUGAUAUUUUUCUGUCCCUGGAUUAAGCCAGAUCUCUCUCUCUCUCUCUCUCUCUCUCUCACACACACACACACACACACACACAUACACACACACACACACAAAAGGAAUUCCUGGCUGAUACUGCCCUGACCUGUGGAUAGCAUUUACUGUCUUCCACUUGGGCCUCAGCCUCCUUUGAGUGACAUUGUUACAAUCAGCACGGCACAACUUGUCUUCACUCAUCCACUCUACCCAGCACCCUUUUUAUGUAUACCCAGAGGAGAAAUGUCUCCUUGGCCCCAGAGCUAAGAACAGAUGCUCUCAUCUGAGCAAUUGGUUGCUGUGAUCCUGUACACUACCUGACCCAUCUACCUGAUCUUGGCCUGAAGGAAACUGAGAAGCACAGCAGCAUCCUGCCUCCAACAUGGAUACAGAACUCCUGAGUCUAGAUUUUAUGUGUUAAUCUCACUUUUGUCUGUCCCUUGUUUUGUAAGUUCUUAGUUUUGUUUUACCUCAUUUCCUUAUUCACUUUAGGUUAUUGAAUCAUCUUAAUUCUUGUAAGCUACUUAAAUCUUUUAAGGAAUAAAUUGGGAUAUAAACAUGGAUUAAGCAUUCUCAGUUGUUUUGAAUAUUUAAAGGACAAAAGGUAAAUAAAUUAUUAGUCUUUAGAUAACUAGAAUAUGUUCAAUAUUGUUGGCAUUAAAACCAUUACUGUUGUGGAUAUGAUUAAACUGUACAUUGGGCACUGUCAGGGGCCUUGGCUGUCUUGAUCACAUCUGCAUCUCUACUGACUGGUGUUGUGCUUGGCUUAUAGCAGAUGCUCAGGAGCAAAGUGAAUGUCACUUGGAGUUCACUCCACCUUUCUCAGAAGUGGAGGGACACUGUUGGCACCUCUGACCUCUGCUUUCUGCUUUCCCUUUUCUGCAGACUCACAUUUCAAGACUCCCUCCUGGUGCAGUUGCAGGACAGUCGGUUGCAAUCGAAGGUGGGGUUUGCCGCCUGGAGAGCCCAGUGAACUGACCCUUCAGGCCAAGCAUGAAGUGUCUGAAAAGUGUUUCAGAAGCUGAGCUUUUGGGGUUUUUAAUGGAAGUUGGAUGUUUUAUCUUCCUUGUUUUAUAAUUCCUAUUCAACCUCAUGUACCGCUCAAGACACAAGUGCUGCUGCAGUUAGCGCUUAGUGACAAGUGGUCCUUUGGUGGGUGAGUGUGUGUGGGUGCUGGGUGUGGGUGCCUGUGGGUAUGUAGAUAUGCGUGUUCGCACGCAUGUGUGUAUGUAUCUGCAGAGUGUGUGCUUGCUUCUCCCUUAAUGAAAUAGAAACUCCUCAUUGUGUAACCUAAGACCAGGAAUGAUUAAAUCAUCUUUACAAAAUGUGUGCUUUAACUGUUUACAAGUAAAACCUAAAGUUACAGGAAACAUUUUUUAUUUUGUAAAGAGGUACCAGCUGUCAUUGAUGUAGUGUGUCUGAUUUAUAGAGUAAAUCUAUUUGUUUAAAUGAUUUGACAGUGGUAGUGCUCCAUUUAAUAACAGUAAUAAGUAAUAAGGUGUUUUUAUUUGUUAACCAGUUUAAGUGGAUCCUGUGGUAACUUAAACUGUUGUUUUCAUCCCUCAUAUGGGGCAUUUUUCUUUAACAAAGAAUGGUUUCAGUGAAACAAUCUAGCAGAGAAUUAAGGUCAGAACCUUUUUAAAUAAUAGUCUUAUUUGAGAAAGUUUGUACUUCUUUCCUCAGCUUUUCUAAGCUUAAAUAUUGCAUAGCUUCGAGCUAUAUGUACUAUAUUAUGAAAGAAUAUGUAAAGAGAACAUACAAUAAUGCACAGUCCUUAAUUUGUGUAUAAUGGAAUGUUAUUUACAAUGUAACACUGUAAAUAAGAAAGCAAAGUUUAUGGGAAAAUUCAAUAUUUGUUUCUUGUUUAAAUAUAUUUUUAAGAUAAAGGCACAAAAAUAAAAGAAGCGUAUUACUGGGUAUAGUGUGUGACUUCUCUUCUCAGACUAAUAAAUUAUCUUUUGAACCCUAGAUCGGA